UACGGAGGGUGCGAGCGUUAAUCGGAAUUACUGGGCGUAAAGGGUGCGUAGGUUGUUUGGUAAGUUAGUUUUGAAAUUCCUGGGCUUAACCUGGGCGAGUGAACUAAGACUGUUAAACUAGAGUAGAGUAGAGGGUACUGGAAUUUCCGGUGUAGCGGUGAAAUGCGUAGAGAUCGGAAGGAACACCAGUGGCGAAGGCGAGUACCUGGGCUACUACUGACACUGAGGCACGAAAGCAUGGGUAGCGAACAGG
RNAcentral lists this ribosomal RNA (253 nucleotides) under uncultured bacterium. Its description in RNAcentral is "partial 16S ribosomal RNA". It matches the Rfam family "Bacterial small subunit ribosomal RNA", at positions 524 to 776 of the family's 1533-position model. The record is from RNAcentral.